UACAGAGGAUGCAAGCGUUAUCCGGAAUGAUUGGGCGUAAAGCGUCUGUAGGUGGCUUUUUAAGUCCGCCGUCAAAUCCCAGGGCUCAACUCUGGACAGGCGGUGGAAACUACCAAGCUGGAGUACGGUAGGGGCAGAGGGAAUUUCCGGUGGAGCGGUGAAAUGCGUAGAUAUCGUUUGGAACGCCAAUGGUGAAAACAGGUUGCUGGGAGUGCGCUGACGCUGAGACACGAAAGCCAGGGGAGCGAACGGG
This 253-nucleotide ribosomal RNA is filed under the name uncultured bacterium. RNAcentral's name for it is "partial 16S ribosomal RNA". It matches the Rfam family "Bacterial small subunit ribosomal RNA", at positions 524 to 776 of the family's 1533-position model. The record is from RNAcentral.